GCGUGCCGAUGAUGAUGCACAAGCACCGGUGAAUUCUGGAUGAUUGCGCUUGCGCACCAUCGCUGCGCACAGCUCUCGUGAUAUCCACUGCGUAAUACUCUGAGGCACAC
This is a non-coding RNA of Hordeum vulgare subsp. vulgare (domesticated barley), 110 nucleotides long. The record is from Rfam. NCBI's taxonomy places the organism in Eukaryota, Viridiplantae, Streptophyta, Magnoliopsida, Poales, Poaceae.